RNAcentral lists this long non-coding RNA (500 nucleotides) under Citrus sinensis (sweet orange). RNAcentral's name for it is "long non-coding RNA (CSIN_LNC002447)". The record is from RNAcentral. Lineage: Eukaryota; Viridiplantae; Streptophyta; Magnoliopsida; Sapindales; Rutaceae.
GAAAGGAUCCAACCAAGGUUGAUAGAAGUGGUGCUUACAUUGUGAGGCAGGCAGCAAAGAGCAUCGUUGCCAGUGGCCUUGCUCGCCGCUGCAUUGUGCAGGUUUCUUAUGCUAUUGGUGUCCCAGAGCCCCUUUCAGUGUUUGUUGACACUUAUCGAACUGGAAAGAUUCCGGACAAGGAGAUCCUGAGGAUUGUGAAGGAGAACUUUGAUUUCAGGCCUGGAAUGAUUGCCAUUAACUUGGAUCUCAAGAGGGGAGGAAAUAGCAGGUUUUUGAAGACUGCUGCAUAUGGGCAUUUUGGAAGGGAGGAUCCUGACUUCACAUGGGAGGUGGUGAAGCCCCUCAAGUAUGAGAAACCCCAAGAGUAGAAUUUAAGUAUGCAGUUUCAUUCUUUGUUUGAACUCAAUAAUUUACUUGUUCUUUCGUCUGCCUGUCAGAUUCUGUCUUUUUUCUCUCUUGGUCUUGGCCUUUUUUUUUAUAAAUAAAUUUGUAUUAUCUUU